This 75-nucleotide transfer RNA is filed under the name Bacillota bacterium. RNAcentral describes it as "Firmicutes bacterium (anaerobic digester metagenome) tRNA-Val". It matches the Rfam family "tRNA". Rfam says of the family: Transfer RNA (tRNA) molecules are approximately 80 nucleotides in length. Their secondary structure includes four short double-helical elements and three loops (D, anti-codon, and T loops). RNAcentral also lists the same sequence under 1 other name. Lineage: Bacteria; Bacillati; Bacillota. The record is from RNAcentral.
GGGGCUGUAGCUCAGGGGGAGAGCGCUUGACUCACAUUCAAGAGGCCUAGGGUUCAAAUCCCUACAGCCCCACCA